AGUUUGAUCAUGGCUCAGGAUGAACGCUGGCGGCAUGCCUAAUACAUGCAAGUCGAACGAAGCGGCCUAUAGAAUUUAAUAAGCUUGCUUAGAGAAGGACAUAGAUCACCGCUUAGUGGCGAACGGGUGAGUAACACGUAGGUAACCUGCCCUAGAGACUGGGAUAACUAUUGGAAACGAUAGCUAAUACCGGAUAGGUAACUAGUAGGCAUCUAUUAGUUAUUAAAGUUGGGUUGCAACACUCUAGGAUGGACCUGCGGUGUAUUAGCUAGUUGGUGAGGUAAUGGCUCACCAAGGCGACGAUACAUAGCCGACCUGAGAGGGUGACCGGCCACAUUGGGACUGAGACACGGCCCAGACUCCUACGGGAGGCAGCAGUGAGGAAUAUUGGUCAAUGGACGCAAGUCUGAACCAGCCAUGCCGCGUGCAGGAUGACGGCUCUAUGAGUUGUAAACUGCUUUUGUAUUAGGGUAAACCUUAGUACGUGUACUAAGCUGAAAGUAUAAUACGAAUAAGGAUCGGCUAACUCCGUGCCAGCCGCCGCGGUAAUUCAGGGCGAAUCCG
RNAcentral lists this ribosomal RNA (564 nucleotides) under uncultured microorganism. RNAcentral's name for it is "bacterial SSU rRNA". It matches the Rfam family "Bacterial small subunit ribosomal RNA", at positions 10 to 536 of the family's 1533-position model. The record is from RNAcentral.